UGCAAAAUAACUAUUUAGCUAGCAGUCUCCUAAAGAGUGUCCUCAACACACCCACCGCUCCAGGCCUCCUCCUUAAACUACUUCUCCAACAACCGGAAUCCGUCUCUAAAGUUUCUGUCUGGCGAUCUGCGCGCAUAGGUUCAAACCUAGGAAAAUGGGAUCCAAACACAGGGAGGAAGAAAAAAAAACGUCCUUUCCCCUUUGGCUGUGAACUUUCCCUUCUGAUAAAAUGUGGUUUCAUAUUUUGCUCAAAAUGAGACCGGUUUCCUGUCUGUGUAUCGAGUGGAAGAACACCGCAAGGGCUGAGUAAAUGGAAAACAUCCAAAGAGCAAAAGAGGGAAGAGGAUUCCUUUGGUCUGGUUUUGUGUUUUUGUCUUGUUCUUCCACCUAGAUGCCCUCUUCAAAGUUACAUAAGAAUUGGAAACAGUAAAAUAAAUUGCUUUAAUUGAUGAUGUGCCAUUACCCGGCCACACAGGUAUUAGUGGGUCCUUUUUACAAAGCUACUCCUGUGCAGGAUUUUCCUCAGGAACCUUCAGAAAGUGUCAAGGAGAAGUAGCCACACAGGACGUGAAAGAGUCUCAGCAGGGCAAGAAAGUACCAGGACUGCUUAGGACAGAGCCAGGAUUCCUGGAGCACUCUGUCUUUGGCAUCACUGCCCCCAGAAGGCAUAUUCCUGCCUGUGACCUAAAACAAGUCCAAACCAGCUACCUAACUGAAGUCAACUCCAGUCGCCUCUCACAGUACUACCAGUACCCCUAGUUCGCCUGACAACAAAAAACCCAGCAAGUCUCUGCUUGAACUAGCUUGGAAGCCAAGCCAAACCAACACCAGAGUCACCAACCCACAUCAUUCGGUCAGUUUGGAAACAGAAGGGGCCAGACCCUCUCCCAUCUCCUAACAGCCUCACCAAAAUGGAUAGAUUCUUAAAGCCCAACAGACACCAGAGUGCCAUUUAAAACCUAGGCACGUUUUUGGAGCCCAAGGGAACAAUUGACUAGAUUCAGUGUCUCUGGAACUGGGUACAUGCCUGUAAGGUGUGUGAUCCUUUAAAGAUCCGUGUUACUAGCUUUGCAUGAAGGCUUUGUUACAGCUUUGUCAGCUUGCUUGCAUUCAGCAACCUUGCUCCCACCCCCACCCUCCCUUUUCCUCUUCUCCCCUCAACUGCCUAUUCUAGCAAUGCCUGGCUGAGUUGUUUUGAAGCUCCCCUUUAAAUACAUUUCAUGCGAAAGUUGUAUGCUGACUAUGCACUGGGUCUCCCUUUGGGAACCGUGGUCUCCCUUUGCUUGUUGCAAAUAAACAGGAUUUUUACUCCCA
Molecule: long non-coding RNA, 1314 nt
Organism: Phascolarctos cinereus (koala)
Lineage: Eukaryota; Metazoa; Chordata; Mammalia; Diprotodontia; Phascolarctidae
Source: RefSeq, a predicted model, not a curated record